AUGGUGGCUCCGGCGACGCUGUCCCUCCGCCCCUGCGCGACCCUCGCGCCGUCCAGGGCCGCGCUCCACCGCGCCCACGCCCACGCCGGGUUCGCCCCCGCUAGUCGUCCAGCCCUCUCCGUCUCCUGCCCGCCGACGCGCUUCGAGAGCCUCCGCCGCGCCGCCACCGCCGUAUCCGACCGGCAAGGCUCCGCAGAGCCUUCCGAGAAACAGGAGGAGAAGUCGCGGACCUACUACUUCCUGGUGGCGAACGCCAAGUUCAUGCUGGACGACGAAGAGCACUUCCAGGAGCAGCUCCAGGAGAAGCUGCGGCUCUACGAGGAGCGCAGCAAGGAGCAGGACUUCUGGCUUGUGAUCGAGCCCAAGUUUCUAGACAGGUUCCCCAACGUCGCCAAGCGGCUCAAGCGCCCCGCCGUCGCGCUCGUCUCCACCGACCGCAACUGGAUCAGAUUCAUGAAACUAAGGCUGGACAGGGUCUUAGCGGAGCAAUUCGAUGCAGAGACACCUGAAGAAGCAUUGGCUUCUAACCCUGCAGAGUUGAAAUUCGAUAAGCCUGACAAAUGGACAGCUCCAUACCCCAAAUACGAGUCUGGAUGGUGGGAGGCCUUCUUACCUCCAAAGUCCAGCAACGGCACGGCUUAG
Molecule: ribosomal RNA, 642 nt
Filed under: Triticum aestivum (bread wheat)
Lineage: Eukaryota; Viridiplantae; Streptophyta; Magnoliopsida; Poales; Poaceae
Description: partial small subunit ribosomal RNA
Source: RNAcentral